RNAcentral lists this ribosomal RNA (314 nucleotides) under uncultured bacterium. RNAcentral's name for it is "bacterial SSU rRNA". It matches the Rfam family "Bacterial small subunit ribosomal RNA", at positions 47 to 357 of the family's 1533-position model. The record is from RNAcentral.
CCUAACACAUGCAAGUCGAACGGUAACAGGAAGAAGCUUGCUUCUUUGCUGACGAGUGGCGGACGGGUGAGUAAUGUCUGGGAAACUGCCUGAUGGAGGGGGAUAACUACUGGAAACGGUAGCUAAUACCGCAUAACGUCGCAAGACCAAAGAGGGGGACCUUCGGGCCUCUUGCCAUCGGAUGUGCCCAGAUGGGAUUAGCUUGUUGGUGGGGUAACGGCUCACCAAGGCGACGAUCCCUAGCUGGUCUGAGAGGAUGACCAGCCACACUGGAACUGAGACACGGUCCAGACUCCUACGGGAGGCAGCAGUGG